RNAcentral lists this long non-coding RNA (40203 nucleotides) under Sorghum bicolor (sorghum). RNAcentral's name for it is "long non-coding RNA (SBIC_LNC006591)". The stretch from base 20356 to 20462 matches the Rfam family "Plant small nucleolar RNA R71". The record is from RNAcentral. Lineage: Eukaryota; Viridiplantae; Streptophyta; Magnoliopsida; Poales; Poaceae.
CCUUACCAAGGCAGUGAUGAUAUAUGCCUUCUCUCAAAAUAUGUAGUAUUUAUGGUAUGAGGCAUAAUGAUAUUGCCUUCUCUCUCACCCUACUCUAAUAAGGCUUUUGAUAUCUGGAGCUCAUAGGUGGGAGAUAAAGUAUACAUACUUACAAGACAUUUAUUGUAUAGUCAAACCAUGGAUCCAAAGAAACAAAUCAAUAAGCCAAAUCAAGAUGUGCAUGUGUGGCGAAUGAAUGGUGUAUGGUGAUGAUGGUGAUAACAAUGGUGAAAGUCUAAUUCUACUUUUGCUCUUUUGAGGGUAUACAUACCUUUCUUGCUUUUUGAAACUUUGUGAAGAGAAUGAGAUGCUCUUCUUUUUCUUUUCUCUCACGUGGGUAUCUUGUACCCCUAAUUCUACUGCCGGGCACUUGCCCCUUUUUAUUUCCUCGUAUCUUUCUUUUUUUUAGAGCACUCAUCUCUUGAGAUGGUAUGCAAGUGGUAGUAACAAGAUAACUUAAGCAUUUAUUUUACAAGGGAAAAAUAGAAAUAUUUUUGGCUAUUCUCUCCCGGAUCAAGAGUAGAAUAUUUUUAGGUGAUUCUGGAGAUGGAAAUGAGUGGAUAUAUGUGGAUGGUACUUCCGGAUUAGAAGCAGCAUAUGUGAGCGAACGUGCAGUGAAUCUUGAUUUAACCACAUGACAAGCUCUUAAGGGUCUACACAGCUUGACCACACUCAAUGCUCAUAAGCAGUAAAAAGUAAAUGUGUGGCUCAAAGUCUAGCAAGCAUGUAUAUAUGGCUGUGGUAGGAAUUUAAACUCUCAUCAUAUAGGAACUCAUCAUGCAACAUUUUAAUGAUUUUUAAAAGAUAAAAUUCUCCAGAAUUCUAGCAUCUCUAGGAACAGAAAAACAGCAGCUCAACCUUCCCAUAUCAUUUCCGUUAACAACUUAGACUUCAGAUCAAGUUUUCUUCCCACAAGUUUAGAUUUAGAGCAAGCUUUAAAUUAUAACAGUUAUGUCUAAACAUAGUGAGAGAACUCAAAUUUGAAAAUUAGGUAGAGCAACUAUUCAUCAUAUCCAUGCUAGAGUUUUAUCAUUAAGAUUUAGUUUAGCAUAGCCACUUUAUUUAUUUAUUAAGCAAACUAAGCAAAAGAUAUAUAUAUAUAUAUAUAUAAGUAUAUAUAAGCACAAAAUCUUUAUUUGUUUUUUCAUAGUUAUGUAUAUUUAUAUUUUAAUAUAGUAUAAGUAUAAAGAUAGAUAGAAAUACUUAGCGGGAUAAAUGGGGGUGCUCUCCCCCAAGGUGAAUUUUGACGUAAUUUCUUUUCAUGUAGCUAGCGGGUGGCAGAGGUGUAUUUGAAAGUCGGCAGUAUUCUGAAAGCGAUUAGAAUGUCCUCCGUCUACUAGUCUUCUUGAUUCUUAAAUUCUGUGGAGCUCAAAUAGACAACAAAGCUUGUGGAACUGAUUAAGUGUUACCAUAAAUAUCUAGCCUUUAUCAUGUUGAGCCUCCUCAAUAAAUGUUACUCCCUAUUUUUAUAUUUUCGUUUUAUAGAGCAGAAAAAAUAUUUUUAUGCCACCACAGUGAAUGUACUUAUGGGUUUUAUGCCACUCGUAUCCUCACAUGGGGCUUACUGUUUUUCACAUUUUUAUUUUCUUUUUAGGAUAGUAUGGACAUGAUUAACUAAGUAAACUAUUUGAAAUAAUUGAAAGGGAAAGGAUAACUACCAAGUUUAUCUCUUGGCAAGGCGUUCGGUGUUUUUAAGUCCUUCGAACGGGACUCUCCUCUUUCUCAAUUGUCCUAGGAUUCGUUGGGUGGCGUAGUCGGUACUUCCGGCGGCGUCUCUUCAUCAUGUAUAGUUAUCUUCUCUCUCCACACCUGACUUGGUGCUACGGUCUCCUCUGGAUAAUUCUGUUUAAACUGAAUGUCUUCUGACCUUAUCACUUCUCCUUCAUAGUCUGCCCAUCCGUCCUUGAUGAUUUGCCUCCUCUGGUUGUGGUUGCGUCGUUUUCUUACCUACUUAGAGUCUUCAACGAUAUAGUUAGGGUCAGUAAAAUAGCGGCGUACCUUCUCUGAGGGAAAGUGUAUAUGGACUUCUCCAGUUCCAAUGUAGAUAAUUGCUUUAACGGUGCUGAGGAACGUCUUCCAAGGAUGAUGGGUGGAUCGUAUUCGUCUUCUCCCAUGUCAAAAACCUGAAAGUCUGUGUACACAAAAUGAUCGUCUAUUUUGAGAGGGAUAUUGUGGGGGUAUAAAACCCUAUACCCUUACAGGAAGACUUGGGCCAGGAGGCUUGGCCAAUUACGAGACAAGUUCGAGGCUUGAUCCGACUGCUCGGAGUUUCGCGCAAGGAAACAGGAUGUGGAGAUCAAGCAGGAUUCUAGUCGGUUAGAAUAGGAAUUGAUAUCGAACUAUCUAUGGCAAUUGUAACCGACUAGGAUUAGUUUCCAGAUCUGUAACCCUGCUCUCCGGACUAUAUAAGGAGGGGCAAGGGACCCCCCCUAGGACACAUGAUUCUCUCGAUCCAAUACAAUCAGACGCAGGACGUAGGUAUUACGCCAACUCGGCGGCCGAACCUGGAUAAAAAGCUUGUCCGUGUCUUGCGUCACCAUCAAGUUCGUAGUUUGCGCACCGUCUACCGAUAAACUACUACCGUGGGUAUACCCCAAGGUAGACUGCCGACUAGCUUUCGUCGACAGUGGCGCGCCAGGUAGGGGGUGUGCGUACAACUUCUCCGGCGAACAAGAUGGUCAUAGUUCCAGCUUCCGCGGCCGUGCCUGAUGUAACAGAACCGUCCAAUUUAUAAGAAUUCAAGUGAAUUAGCGACCACGGAGGCAGUCAAGCCAAUGGACUUGAACCCAUAUAAACUCGGUAGUCCGACGAAAUCUCAAAAGACCUCGAUUCAACCAACAUACAACCAAGAUCGUACAUGAUCAAGCAUCACCAUCACAGAUUACAACAUCCAUCACAGAACAUCGUUUUACAUCACAUCAGAGUUUAAAGGAGGUUAUUACAAACCAUAGCAGUAGCGGAAACAAAGUAGUUUUGAAACAACACCAACUUAGUUUAUAAUACAUGCCAGUUCCAAGGUCAAGUCCCAACAAAAGCACAACUGAAGAUAAAGGAGGUGAUCACGCCCAUGAUCUACUCAUCAUCCGCAGCUGGGUGAUGACAGUUAGCGCAAUAGCCGUGAUAGACGACAUCAUCUGCAACAGGGGUAAAUAAAACCCUGAGUACGAGAAUGUACUCAGCUAGACUUACCCGUCAAAAACCAGAAAUAAAGUGACACCAAGGAGUAUGCAAGGCUGAUCUUUGUGGACUGGUUUGACUCAUCUUUUGCAUAAAAGCCUUUGUUAUAAGUAACUCAAUUAUCAAAUUUCAGCAGCAAGUUUAUUACUUAGCAACUAUCCACUAGAUUAGCACCUGUUCUAAGCAUACACUUGAGUAAUUAAGCAUUUCAAUAAUAACCAUAUCAGGAUCAUCACUUUGCUAUCAACAUUCUCAUCAUAACCAUUAAGUUCAUUUAGUGAAUUCUACGUUGCCGCUGCCCAAGUCAAGUUCUCACUAUCCGGGAGAGACGGCGAUUCGAAUCGAUUCCUAUCUAGCUGGAGGGGUAUUCCUAACACUCACCCAAGCAUACUUCAUGACGGCAGCUCGGAUCACCUUUAGCACAACUCCGGACCAAUUCGCGGGUCCGUACGGCCCCGCACCCCCAGGGACCGCCAAUCUGCCAGGGUCAGGACUCUAACCUGACACCUCGGUCUUACGCCAUUGACUCCCCGCACAUCCUUACUACCAACCGGGGUGCGCACUUUAACUAGAUCGGGGUAUCCGGCCGGAGUUGCAAUCGUAGGCUUCACGGUCGGAACGACUUAUCCGGCCAACUAAGUGAUAGGCAUGCGUUCAACAUGACACGGGGACGUACAGCGAUUCGGUCCUUAAACGACAUAGACGGGGAUAGAUUCACACCCAAGACCUCCAUGCCUUGUUGCUGCACUAUCGUCAUCCCGCCCGGUCUCAAAUUCAUUAUUAGCACAUGGUUAUUUCCACGAUAGCAAAUAUAGCCAACCGUGAUCAUCACCCACCUAACUCUCACAGGUGACAGGAAAUCACCCGGCUUCUACCGAGCUAAGCAUGGCUAAGCAUUACUUCGAUCCUGGACCUACUUUGGUAAUGUUUAAGGUGGACAAGGUAGUCAUUAUGCAGCAAGGGUGUCAUAUCAACGCCUACCACUUAAUGCAACAAUAUAUAACCAUAGUCAUUUGAUAGCUGAGUAUGAUAAUCAAAAUAGUAGGAGGCUUAUAAUGCUCCGGGGCUUGCCUUCAACGUAGGUGGAUGGACGAUGGUCGGGACACUCCGGCAGGUCUUCCUCCUCCUCAGCUCCUUGAGGUAGUUCCACUUGCUGUCCUUCCGGCUCCGGCAGCUCGAACUCCAGCACCGUCACUCCCUUGGGUACACCUAUGGAUGCAUGACAAGGAGAUGAAUAUAGGGAAUGCACAUAUGAUGCAUGAUGUCAUGAUGAAGAGCCAAAGGGACAUAAACAAGGUAUAACAUGAGCAUAAACUUCUAAGAAUAAGUGAGUCAUGGAAUAACAAGUAAAUGCAUACUUCUUUUCUGGUAGAGAGACUAAGUAGACCAGUUAAACAAGUCCUAGCUACUCUUACCCAGUCACUGGUUUAGUAGACAAACCAACCAGUCACAAGUUUCAGCUAUAACUCGAGUAUCACUUAACCAAUUUAAACAAUCCCAGCAUGAUUCCCAACCGAAAUAUGCUAAAACAUACAAAGUUGGCUGGCUGCUCUGGAAAUUCCAGAGAGCAAGCACUUUGUAGCAGCUACUUGAAAUAUGCAUAACUUUCAAACUACUCAACCAAAUGUCAUGAAAUUUGGACACGAAGUAGAUCAGUAAGUUAGCUACAACUUUGUUGCAGACAAGUUUCCCAGAAAACACAAUCUUCAAAUAGUUCUUAAUCAAUUGCUAUCAGCUGUACAUAAAUGCUCUAGGAAAGGCAAAAAUAGCUAAAAUAAUAUUUUGCACCUAUUAAGAAUGUAUCAAAGGAACAAUCCAAUUGCACCAGUAGAUAGAACAUGACUAAGAAACACUAGAAAACAUCAUGGCAAGGUCUAAAUUCAUUUCUAUCAUCACCUUUUUCAUUUAUUUAAUUAUGAAGGUGAUUUAAUGAACAUAUACUCCAAGUGUUCCAAAAAUCCUAAGAAAAUUACAGCAAGCUACUUAUGCUGACACAAGAUCACUGUAAAAUUUUCAGAACAUUUGCACAUACACAUUGUGAGGUAUAAAAACAACAAGCUAGUAUAGGCAUGCAUAGCAUAAAUGUGAAACCCUAUCAAAAAGUGUCAAACAAUAGAUUUCAGAUUUUUCCUUGCUUUGUCUACUCAUAAGUACAACACUCAGCAAGUUUCACCAUAAAAGGAGUUAUACUUUAAUUAUCAAAAAUACCACAAGAUUAUUUUAUUUAAUCAAGGAUUAAUUUUAACUUCUUAACCAAGCUUCCAAAAAUCAUGAAACAUUUAUCAGAUCCUAAUCAUAACAUAAGUAACAACUCCCUAAAUUUGCAAGGCCAGCAGAUCAACAGAUCUCAAGAUAUAAUUACCCACUGAAAAUCCAAGAUUAAUUUAUAUCUAUUUAUUUAUGCAAAAACAUGGCAUGUUUCAUAUUUUUAUUAAAAACUAGACUUCUGCUGGAACCUAGAAAAAUUGGAAUCACCACAUUUGGAUCUCUAAAACUCCAGAUAUGAAUUUUACAAAAACAGCUUUGGCUCUGCACAACAGUGAACCAGAGGGGGUGACACAGAGAGGCUGACAUCCGGGACCUACGCGUCAUUGAGACGGGGACAGGGGAGAUGCUCGUCGCCGGUUAAGCUCGACGACGACGAGGUCUCAGCCGGAUCUAAGGGCACCUACGUGUUCCUCUCAUCAAGGCGACUCUGUUGACCUACAUUACGCGCGCUCUACUAGACUCUAGGGUGCUCGCCGUCGGGAAUGGCGGAGCGGCGGCGCUGCGCGGCGGUACGCCGGCGGAUCCAGGCAAUGGCGACGCGGUAGAGGUUCACGCCGAGCAUCAGUGAACCAAGGGGAAGCGAUAGGAACAAGAAUGGAGGAAAAUGGUGGAGCAGAGAGGCUUGGCCACGUCGUCGGAGAGCUCGGGCGGAACUCCGGCGAGGAAGAACCGCUCGGAGCUCGGCAAUGCCGCCUUACCCGUGCUCGAGAGUGGCCAAGGAGGUGACGCCAAGGUAGAGGAGGCUCUGGCGAAGCUUUUGGUGGGCUGGCUUGGCCGGAGAUGGCGAGAAGAGCUCGGGCGACGCUGCCGUUCCACGGCAGAGCUCGCCGAGGCGAAGUGGAGAAGGGAGAGAGCGCUGGAGAGGCGAAAUGAGGACGGUCGGGGCUCGGGGUGGCGUCGUGGCGUCCAAGUGAAGGCGCCGGGGCUGACAGGCGGGGUCGCCGUCCACGUACGGCCGCCACGGGUCAUCCACGCGUCGGCCGGCCGGCGACUGACGAAACUGAAUCGCACGAUUCAGUCGUCGUCGGCCGUGUCUGAAACUCAAAGUUCACCGGCGUUUUACUCUCAGCUCACUCGAUGGUUUUGGCUCAAACUUGUUGCUUUGGACAGAGCUACACGAGUUCUACAACUUUGAUUACAAGAUCAAAGUCUAACUUGGUCUGGAUUUCAAACUACAAAGCUCCCAAUCAGCCCUGGUCGAAACUGCACGAUCCAACACUUAGCCAAAUUCGGCUAAGUAUGAAAUCAGCCCUGAUUUUUGGCUUGUGAGCAAUUUUUGGAUGUGUUCUAAGCUUUUUCAUAAAAAGUCAUCUACAUAACUUUUGUAGCUUAUGAAAUUCUCUACAACUUUGCUUCAGAUGUCAAAGACAUGCAAGGUCUCUAACACCAGUUUCAUAAAACAUCUUUAAAAAGAGGUCUAGGAGUCAAAAUAAGCCAUUUUAGGUUUAACACCUAACCUAGGGGCAUUUUUGGCCAAAACCUUCAACAUUGACUUUGCUCCAAAUGAUAUUCCAAACAUGAUUGAAGUAUUUUGGAAGACAAUGUACAUUUAUUUGCAUUGGUUACCCCUUAUAAUCACUCAAUUCAAUUCACACAAGCAAUUCAAUCAUACAUGGUAUGCAUAAGAUAACAUGUGGUCAUGAUAGAUGCUUAUGAAUGAGCAUGAUGAUGCUUAUGUUGAUGCAAUGCUCAUGGUUAACAUGCAAGCUAACACUAGGAGUGUUACACCUGAAGGCCUCACGUUCACCGUCGGCCAGAUCACGUGGACGACGCGCGGCGGUGGUCUCACGACCACGGUUUCGGAAGGAACCCAGAUCCAAUCUGGGAUGACGUCGGCUCCGACCACUCGGAUGACGGCACCGAGCGCCCGACCACCACUCCCGCACUACAAGGGGAAGAAGAUCGACUGCUCGGACCUUCUCCAAGCACUUGAUCGCGCUGAUUCCAAGCUACUUGAAGCUUCCCAACUAGUAGAUGGGAUCUUGCGCCAGCCCGAUCAAGCCGCUCUAACGGAUUCUUUCAACUCCCACUGGCCAACUCGUGUCGUUACACACGAACGGCUGGGAAUGUCUCUGACGAUAACCUCAACUCCGUCAGGACAAUCCGUCAAGCUCGAGGUUAACCCGAAGGAGGAUUAUCCUUGCGGUCUGAACAACUCGGCCUCUCUCUACUCACGGCACAUCCAAUCCCUUUUCAACAAGGCGGGUUGGCUGCCGAAACGGAACGGUCGACCAGCUCGUCACCACGUCAACAUGGUGACAAUCCGAGAACUACGAGACGGCCAGGCUUCCAGCACAAAUUUGAGCACUGGAUCUGUCCCCACCGAGGUCAUAAACUCUGAAGACGAGGACUACGACCUGGAUUUGCCUUCACAUCCUCCGGGCUUCUCUCGUUUCCCGGUCUUCCCACCCCGGUGAGGAGACAUUGUUUUCAAUGUCAGCGCCGACGAGCCGGUCGUCGAUGGAGAAACAGACGAGCAGAGGCAGCUCCGCGAGCAGCGUAACGCCGAUCGCGUCCGACGACGCGCGGACGAGGAACGUCAAAUCCCGCCGCAUAAUCUCAGCGAUGCUUUCGACAUGGUUGGGGAUCAGCCAGUUUAUAAAACGCCAAGCGCCAACGUGGCUGUCGCCAUGGCCAAUUUAGAUCGGCUCCCUGAUACUCCCGAGUGCCAGGAGGUCCGAACCAGCGUUCGAGCACAUCUGAUCGCCGCGAUGGGACAGACAGCCACUCUGCUCAAAAGAGUCCAAGCCAUCUCCUAUACGGAGGCCACCUCUGACCAGACUCACCGCAGCCGGACCUCACCGCAGCCCAGCAGGCACCACCGUAGCCGUUCCCCCGACAAUCAUUGAAAAGAUUCACGGCGUGACGAUGGCGGUCGGGAUGCUGGCGGUCACCGCGAGCAGAAUCGCAGGCGUGGUCAAGGAGUAAACCAGUACAGGGAUCUUCGAUACAACAUCCCUCCCAAAGACGCCCGGGACCGUAUCAACAGGCGCACCACGGAGAGAGCAGUUCACGAAAACUUGCGUCAUAUUGAGUACGAUGCAACGCACGGCCCCCGGGGCCUGAAGCACUUCUCUUCACACCUCCGCCAGGUCGUGUGGCCAUGAAAUUUCAAGCUUGAGAAACUCAAAAAAUACGACGGCAAGGAAAACCCAGAGAACUGGAUCACUCUUUACGAGAUCAUCGUCCGAUCAGCAGCAGGAGAUGAGCACGUCAUGGCCAACUACUUUCCAUUAGUCCUCGACCAGGCUGGUCACCAGUGGCUCCUAGGCCUGCCCGAGGACUCUUUCGACUCCUGGGAAGAACUACGCCAAGCCUUCAUCGCCACCUGCGAGUAGCCUGGGAACAAGUACGACCUCGAAAGGAUAAGGGAUAGGAAAAAUAAGCCUCUGCGCGACUACAUCCGACGAUUCUCGGAUAUGCGCCUAAAGAUCCCGAAGAUUUCCCACGACGAGGCUAUAUCUGCUUUCAUCAAGGGGCUACGUUUCCACGAAGCACUGAGAAACAAGCUACUGCGCAAAAGGCCAACAACGAUGACAGAGCUCCUAGCCACGGCCAAAAAUUAUGCCGACGCCGAUGACGCAGAAAAACUCAUCCGAGAUGACACCAGAGGUCCCGACCAGCCUUCUCGGCGUGACGACAGUCGCGACCGUUUUGACAACAUGAACCAUCGCCGCCCCGACAACCGGGACCACAGAGAAGGCUGGGACAGGCGCCGCGACAAUUGCGAUGAUUUCAGAGGCAAGCGCCCUCGCGAUCACGACCACGAGGUGAAUACGGUCAAGCGCCCCAAUGGACGGUGGGAUUACCAAGAAGACUACAACAAGACGUUGAAGGGACCAUGCCAACUGCAUCCAAAAUCCAACCACACCAUGGAAGAAUGCCGCGUCCUCAAAAGCAUCUAUACGCGACGAGCAGCUCAAGAUGAUCCCUCCAAGAAAAAUAGGAAACAAGACGGGCGCGAUCACGAAGACGAGGAUGAAGACAAGGAUAGGGACCCACGACACCAGUAUGUCAGUCCUACUGACGUGGUCCAUUUUAUCUUCGGAGGCAAGGUCUCCAUCGAGUCCAAACGAGAAAGAAAGCUCUUAAGGAGAGCCUGCCUCAACAUAGACAGCACUGAUGGCCUGAUCGCCGAUCCAAAAUUUCCUCCCUGGUCGCACAGGGAAAUCUCCUUUAGCAGGAAGGAUCAGUGGGCCGCUAUCCCGGAGCCAGGUCGUUUCCCUCUAAUCUUGGACACUUGCAUCAACAGCAUAAGAUUCGAGCGCGUGCUCGUGGACGGAGGAAGCUCCAUUGACAUCCUCUUCCGCAACAGCCUACCUGCUCUCAAGAUAUCUCCGGCACAAUUAAAACCCUACGAUGCUCAAUUCUGGCGAGUCUUGCCAGGUCAGAGUUCAGUGCCCCUCGGACAGAUAACAUUGCCUGUCCAAUUUGGCGCGCCCGACCACUUUCGAACAGAGUUCGUCAACUUUGUGGUCGCCGACUUCGAUGGGACCUACCACACUAUACUGGGCCGACCAUCGCUGACAAAGUUCAUGGUAGUCCCGCAUUACUCAUACCUGGUCCUCAAAAUGCCUACGGAGAAGGGUGUCCUAACCGUCAGAGGCAAUGUCUACACUGCAUAUACAUGCGAAGAGGAGAGCUUCAAAAUCACCGAAGCAAUUGAUCUCUCAAUACGCAUGGCAGAAACAGCAUCCCAAGCCACACAGCUACCUCCCGACCAGCUGCAACUACCCGAGCAGGAGACCGCCAGGAAGAAUUCAAAAUCCAAGGAGUAUAAAGAAGUACAACUGGUCGACGGCAGCCCCGAGAAGACGGCCCUCAUCGGGGCCAAUCUGGACCCCAAAUAGGAAGACGCGCUCGUCAGGUUUCUAAGGGACAACGUGAGCGUUUUCGCAUGGAAACCCGUAGACAUGCCUGGCGUCCCACGAAACCUGAUCGAGCACUCCUUAAACGUCUCGAAGACCGCAAGACCCAUCAAGCAAAAGCUGCGACGGUUCGCUCGUGACUAAAAGGAGGCUAUUAGGAGAGAAAUAACAUGGCUUCUAGCAGCCGGAUUUAUAAAAGAAGUGUAUCAUCCCGAUUGGCUUGCCAAUCCGGUUCUUGUACGCAAAAAGAAUAAUGAAUGGAGAAUGUGUGUUGAUUAUACUGAUCUCAAUAAACACUGUCCUAAAGAUCCUUUUGGUCUCCCUCGCAUCGACGGGGUGGUCGACUCAACGGCCGGAUGCGAACUCCUCUCCUUCUUAGACUGCUACUCUGGUUAUCACCAGAUCUCGCUAAAGGAAGACGAUCAGAUCAAAACGUCUUUCAUUACUCCUUUCGGCGCAUACUGCUACACGACCAUGUCAUUCGGACUCAAAAAUGCUGGAGCCACCUAUCAAAGGGCCAUCCAGCAAUGCCUCCACGACGAGAUUCGCGAUGACCUCGUCGAGGCCUAAAGAUGACGUCGUCGUUAAAACAAGGGAUGCAAGCACCCUAAUCGACAACUUAGACCGAACCUUUAAGGCGCUAAAUAGCUACAAGUUGAAGCUUAACCCCAAAAAGUGCAUCUUUGGUGUCCCUUCCGGUUUACUACUCGGCAACGUCGUCAGCCGCGACGGCAUACGGCCAAAUCCUUCAAAAGUAAAAGCAGUACUUGACAUGCGACCACCUAAGAAUGUUAAGGAUAUUCAGAAGCUCACCGGAUGUAUGGACGCUCUCUGCCGCUUCAUCUCAAGACUAGGAGAAAAAGGCCUCCCUUUCUUCAAACUCUUGAAGGCGUCAGAAAAAUUCUCCUGGACAGAAGAGGCUGACGCUGCGUUCACCCAGCUUAAGACUUUCCUCACUUCACUGCCUGUUCUCACAGCGCCUCAGCCCAAUGAAGACCUACUCCUUUACAUUGCUGCGACCGACAGGGUUGUUUCGACGGCAAUAGUGGUCGAGCGAGACGAGCCAGGUCAUGUCUACAAGGUCCAGAGACCCGUUUACUUCAUAAGCGAAGUCCUAAACGAGUCCAAGACCAGAUAUCCGCAAAUACAGAAGCUCAUAUACGCCAUUCUAAUAACAUCGAGAAAGCUAAAGAAUUACUUCGACGGCCAUCGAGUCUUGGUAACCACAAGUUUCCCUCUUGGGGAUAUUCUGCGCAAUAAAGACACCAACGACAGAAUUGUAAAAUGGGCAAUGGAAUUAUGCCCAUUCUCCCUGGAGUUCUAGAGCCACACCACAGUCAAGUCUCAGGCCCUGGUCGAUUUCAUCGCAGAGUGGACGGAUCUCAACGAGCCUCCCGUUCCCAAUGUCUCUGACCACUGGUCGAUGUUCUUCGACGGGUCCUUAAACAUCAACGACGCCGGCGCUGGGAUACUUUUCGUGUCGCCCAACAAGGACAAACUGCGUUACGUCCUUAGGAUCCUUUUUUCGGCAUCAAACAACGUCGCCGAGUACGAAGCAUGCCUUCACGGCAUACGAUUAGACGUUGAGUUGGGAGUCAAGCGCCUUUAUGUCUAUGGCGACUCCGCGUUAGUUAUCAACCAGCUCAACAAGGAAUGGGACGCAACCCACGAGAAGAUGGAUCUCUACUGCAAAGAAAUUCGCAAGUGGGAAGCCAACUUCUAUGGCACAGAGUACAUCCACGUGGUCCGGGACAAGAACCAGGCAGCAGAUGCGUUGUCAAAGUUAGGGUCAUCUCGGGCCUAGAUCCCGCGAGGUGUUUUUGUCCAGGAUAUCCAUGAGCCAAGCGUGGGCAAAGACCUGGCUGAAAAGCAACCUAUUGAGGCAAUGCUCAUAGACGACGUUACUCUGACAACCAGUAGCCGUGAUUGGCGCACCCCGUUCAUCAGAUAUAUAUCAGACGGGUCAGGCUUUCAGGAUAAAACAGAGAACGAGCGCCUCAUUCGACGAUCAAAGAAUUACAUACUGGUAGACGGCAAACUUAUGCGAAAAAUGCAAGUUCUGAAGUGCUACUCAAAUGCAUAUCUGAGGAUGAUGGCAUCAAGCUCCUAGACGACAUACAUGCCGGAUCCUGCGGCAAUCAUGCUGCCUCCAGAACACUGGUCGGGAAAGCUUUCCGAGCAGGUUUUUAUUGGCCAACCGCAGUCAACGACGCAGAAAAACUGGUCCGACACUGUGAGGGAUGUCAGUUCUUCGCUAAAAGGACCCACGUACCUGCUCAUGAGAUUCAAACUAUCCCAUCGUCCUGGCCUUUCGCCUGCUGGGGGCUCGACAUGAUCGGGCCAUUUAAACCGGCCCCUGGCAACUUCAAGUUCGUUUUCAUAUUAAUCGACAAGUUCUCAAAAUGGAUUGAAUACAUGCCACUGGUCAAAGCAACCUCCGAGAAGGCCGUGGAGUUCCUCAAUCAAAUCAUACACAGAUUCGGGAUCCCAAACAGUAUAAUCACCGACCUGGGUACUCAGUUCACUGGCACCACAUUUUGGGACUUCUGCGAUGACAGAGGCAUAGUCAUAAAAUACGUGUCAGUAGCUCACCCACGGGCAAAUGGCCAAGUUGAGCAUGCGAACGAAAUGAUUAUUGACGCCCUAGAGAAAAGGUUGUACACCGAGAACGACAGAGCACCUGGUCGAUGGAUGAAAGAGUUACCGGCUGUGGUCUGGGGUCUCCGAACUCAGGAUAGUCGGAACACGGGAGUGUCACCCUACUUCAUGGUUUAUGGCACCGAGGCAGUUCUGCUGUCUGAUAUAACCUUCGGUUCUCCUAGAAUUGAAAACUUCGACCAGUCAACAGCCGACAACGCCAGGGAGCUCGAAAUUAACUGCAUGGAAGAAAAGCGUCUAAAUUCAUGUCUCCGAACAACAAAGUAUCUUGCAGCAAUCAGGCGGUACCACAACAGGAACGUCAAGGACCAUUCUUUCAUGGUCGGCAAUCUGGUACUCAGAUGGAAAACGGACCAGGAAGGAAUGCACAAGCUAUCCACCCCCUGGGAAGGACCCUUCGUGGUCGCCGAAGUCACACGACCCACAUCCUACAGAUUGGCAUAUCCAGACGGAACACACGUGCCUAACUCUUGGCACAUAGACAAACUGCGCCGAUUUUAUCCAUAAGUUUAGUAACUUUUGCUUGUAAGUCUCUCAUAGUUGGUAAUAAUAAAAGUUUUUUCUUUAUGGCUAUACUUUGUUUACACGCAGAGCUUUCGGCGAAGAGCAACAAUGUCCUCUGCGACGGAAACUCUUAACGACUAUGAAUCAAACACAGUGACACGUCACUCAGAUAACUUUACAGCGCCCAAAAUAACAGUCAUGACAAAAGCAAACUUUAUUACGAACUUUACAUACAAAGUUUACAAUAAAUAGCCUGACGGGCGGUCACUAGUCUACUCCUACAGACUACCCUACUGGCCUACUGCUCAGGCUGAUCACCCGCCUGGCCUUGCUGCCCGGACGAAGGGGUCGGGGCCACCGGCGCCUGGCUGGUCGAGACCGCAGGCGUGGACCGCCCAUCUCUAGCAACAGACGCCCCCGACAACUCCCUGGCCGACCUGUCUGAACCCGGCUAGUCGGGGGGAGUGGCCGUCCCGCAUAGAUUAAUGUCGCCGAUCACCGUCGACGAUAAGUCCAGCAGACCGGCCCGAAGCUCGUCCGCCUCCUGCGGGCCGACCUCCUUGGGAUACCCCUUCUCCAGCCUAGACAAGUCAACCAUGGGGUAGUGGGUGUGCACCAUGCUGAGAAUAUGCACGCCAACGAACUCCCCGGCGUCCUUCACGAACUGCUGGAGCCAAUCCCAGGCCCGUUGUGCCUUUUCGACAGGCGUCAGCUUUGGCGCGCGGGGCUGGCUUUCUGGAAGCUCGGUGCUGAUCAAGUCCAGGACCGGGGAUACUCCUUUCUAGAGCCUAAUACAAUUAGUCUUCCUGGAGUCCCGAUCCUUGACCUGCUCGUCUAAGUGCUUCUUGGUAUUCACCUUAAGCACUGCAAAUCAAGGAAUAGGUCAGCACAAUGAAAAGAACGUUGAGCAGCUAUAAAGAAGGGUGGCGGCACGGCUACUUACCAAACAACUCCCGAUUCCUCUGGCCCAGCUCCUCGCCUGCUCGGCGCCCGGUUUCCAGUGCCCCGGCAAGCUCUUGUCCGAGCUGCUCCUUCUCCUACCGAAGGCGCGCCACCUCCUCCUCCAAGCCUACAUGAAUAAUCUUUUGGUCAGCAAAAGUCAACCAACGCGGCUACAAACAGCUGCCUCGGAGUACGAGACUGACCUUCUCGCUGCCGAUACUGGUCGGCCAAGCGUCGAGUAAGCUCGAGACGGUGCUCUUCCUGAGCGCUCGUCUCGGCCACCUUCUCUCCAACUUCUGACCGAAGCCGGUCCACCUCCGUGGCCAGGGUUUUGUUCUCGGCCACAAUGCCUUCUAUUUGGUCAAAGCACCUCUUCCGGUACUUCGCCGUUUUCAUUGUGCCCUGCAAGAAAGAGUAUAUGUUGAACACAGGAAAACUGCACAUAGUUGUCGAGCAGCACACAGGACCACUUACCUUAACCUCGUCCACGAGACGCUUAGCUGCGCGUUCCACCCUCGCGGCCUCCUCCGUCUCCGUGAGCUCCUCGUGUCCAAUAAAGUGGUCCCCGCGUUGGUGCCACACAUAGACGUGCUGGCGACCAUCAUGGGGAUGACCCUGGACCUCCUCCACGUCAUCGUCAUAGGCCUCCUAGGGCUCCUCGUGUGCCGCAGUGCCCACGGCUGCAGUCGAGGGCAUCAUGGGUCCCUGGUCUAGGCCAGGGGAACCUACGAGCGAAGAGGCCCCUGCUCGGGCCGGUGUCGGGGCCCUCGCUUCUUCGGCUGGAGGAGUCGGGACUCUGCCUUCCUCCUCCGCAACAGUACUCGGGGGAGGGGUCCUUGUCGCCUUCUCACCCAUCGGCGGAGUGCUCGCCGCGGCACUCGCCGGGGCGGUUUGUCUGUCAGCGCCUGUAGUGGCGGCCGCCGCCGCAGGCUGCCCUGUGGCCUGCGGCGCGGCGUCCUCAACGGCGGCAGCAGGCUCGGCUGUCCCCUGCUCCACGACUAGGUCGGGGUUGACGUUCGACGCCGCGCUGAGCAAUGAAGCGAAAUUUUCAACAACAGUAAAAAAAAUGCCAAAAUACGUAAGUUGAACACUUACAGGUCUGAUCGACGGUGGGUCGCGGUGAACUUCCUCCUGGCCCUGCCGGUCGGCGCCGGUGCCCCCGUUUCUGCGACGCGUGGUGCAGGAGGGUCGCUGGCCACCCGAUCAGUGGUGGCCGGCGUAUUGUCCGAACGGCUACGAGGCCUUCGGACCAGCGACGGUGCGGCCUCCUCCUCCUCAUCAUCGUCGUCAGUGAUCCGGACGAGCCGACGGCGUUUUGGCGCCUGGCUGCUGUCGGCGCAGGUGAAGGAUCUGCUGCCAAUGGCCUCUUCCCAGUCACUCGGUCCUCGGUGGUCGAGGCGGGACGGGCUUGCUCCUCUUCACUGCUGGUGUACCGAGUACACCGAGCAGCGUCCUCCUCCGGCAGAUCCUCCCCUGCGGGAUUUUCCAUCCCAGGCGCCAGUGACACAUACACUGUGCACCGGUCAACAUCUCCGAUCUACAAAAUUAACACGGACAAGUCAGCAGCUGACAAUAAGAAACGCUAAGAAGGCACAAUCAGGAAGAAGCGAUACCUUAGGAGCUGGUCGUCCCAGCUUGAAAGCUUGCACCCGAUCACUACCUCGGAUGAAGCUCCCGUCAGCAAAGUUGAACAGCUCGUUCAACAACUGCUGCACCUCUGCCUUCUCCAAGAUCUCAGGUGUCAUCCUGGUCGGGUCUUGGCUUCCAGCAUACUCGUACGCCGAGUGCACCCUCUUCUGGCAGGGCAUCACCCGACGACAAACGAAGUUGCCGACCACACCCAACCCGUCCAAACGCGACCAGUCGAUCAGUUUCAUCAGGUCCGCUACUUGGCCGGUGAACUCUGGGCGGUCGGUCAAACUGACCCUCUUCUCGGGGAUGUACCCCAGGUCGCAGAACGUGGAGCUGCCCGGUUCUUCCCUGACAUAGAACCACUUCCUGUACCAUUCGGUUAGGGAAGUGUUCCAUGGGCAGCUCAGAUAAUGGUUCUUCAUCCCGUCACGAAGAUUGAGGUAUACUCCACCUGCAAUCUUGGAGCCUCCAACCGCUCCCUUCUUCCUCAAACAGAAAAGAUAACAAAAAAGAUCGAAGUACGGCUCUAUGCCAACAUAGGCCUCGCAAAGAUGGAUAAAGGUGGAGAUGAGAUGGAUGGAGUUCGGGUGCAGAUUGCAAAUCCCGAUCUCAUAGUACAAGAGAAGCCCCUGAAGAAAAGGAUGAACAAGAACCCCCAAACCCCUCUUUACGAAAUCCUCGAAUACUACGAUCUCACCGGCGCGGGGGUCGGGGUAGCUCUCCCCCUCUGGCGCCCUCCAGCCGCCGAGCUCUGGGCUGUGCAGUAGCCCCAUAUCGACGAGGUCGCCAAGGGACUUCGAAGUGCUGCGGGAUUUCUUCCAUUCCUUGUCCAUCAGCUCGGCCCUCUUCUUGGAGCUGCUCUUCGCCAUUGGAGAUGCGGGAGUGGUUGCGAGCUAGGAGGGUCCAGGUGAUUGUAGAAGGCAAGAGCGGAAGGCGUGAAGACAAUGGCAGGGUGAGCAAUGCGGGGUAACUGUCGGGAUUUUAUAAACCACAACUCCACCCCUCCCACUUCCCGCAUUCUUGGGAAGUGGGCGGGACCAAUGGCGGACGCGGCGUUUCGGUUUCCAAAGAUUAUCGGCAAUUAAUGCGGCGGCAUUUUCGUACAAAUUGAUGGUUUCUUUUUCUCAAACCCCGCAAAGGGCGGCUGCACAGUUGCCAGGCGCAGCUUUUCACGCAACCAUCUGACAUUACGCAAGAAGGUCUCGUCACGUCAAUUAAUUAUGUGGUAAGAUUUUUUCAAAAUAAAACAGACAAAAAUUAGAGGAAAGGUCAACAACUCAAGGACUGCUCCGACCACCGAGCACUGUAUGCUCAGGGACUGGUCGCCCAGUCUAUCAACUCGGUAAUUCAAGGACUGCACCGACCACCGAGCACUGCAUGCUCGGGGACUAGUCGCCCAGCCUAUCAACUCGGUAAUUCAAGGACUGUACCGAGCACUGCAUGCUUGGGGACUGGUCGCCCAGUCUAUCAACUCGAUAAUUCAAGGACUGCACCGACCACCGAGCACUGCAUGCUCGGGGACUGGUCGCCCAGUCUAUUAAUUCGGAAAUUCAGGGACUGCACCGACCACCGAUCACUUGAUGCUCGGGGACUGGUCGCCCAAUCUGUUAGUUCAGAAAUCUGUGGGCUGUAUCGAUCUCCGAGCAUUGUACACUCGGGGACUGGUUGACCAGCUCGUCAAAUUGAUAAGCCUAUCUUAUAGUAAAUGGACAUGAGACGCUCGGGGACUGGACAAUUUUAAUUUUUUAGACCUUGCUACAAGGUUCAUACUUCGCCUUCUAGCAAGCUCGGGGACUACAUCGGUACGAUGCAUCUGGCAAUGCAUCUUAGAUUCAAAGUUACUUUGAGGAUUUUUCUUUUGACCCUAGCACCACGUGCCUACAUCACCUACUACCAGGCUCGGGGACUAAGUGGGCACACUUCACCUUGCGGUGAAUAUGCUUUCUUUUUUGAAGAUCUGUACUUUUCGGAAAAGUAAAGUGGGCACACUUCACCGGAAAAGAAAUAUUUUUUCUCAAGAGCACCAUGUAUUCUUCGAACAAUUGGCUUCUUCGGUGAUAAUGUUGAUCAACUGUCUUUUGAGUUGGUCAAAAUACCGUUACAACUGUUUGGACGACUUUCAUGCUAAUCGAAGAUGUCAAGCCUUGCUGAUCGAAGAAGCUCAAGACGGCGUGUUACAUCACAAUACAUGGUGCUCGGGGACUAAUUGUGGGGGUAUAAACCCCUAUACCGUUACGGCAAGACUUGGGCCAGGAGGCUUGGCCCAUUACAAGACAAGUUUGAGGCCUGAUCCGACUGCUCGGAGUUUUGCGCAAGGAAACAGGACGUGGAGAUCAAGCAGGAUUCUAGUCGGUUAGAAUAGGAAUUGAUAUCGAACUAUCUAUGGCAAUUGUAACCGACUAGGAUUAGUUUCCAGAUCUGUAACCCUGCUCUCCGGACUAUAUAAGGAGGGGCAAGGGACCCCCCUAGGACACAUGAUUAUCUCGAUCCAAUACAAUCAGACGCAGGACGUAGGUAUUACGCCAACUCGGCGGCCGAACCUGGAUAAAAAGCUUGUCCGUGUCUUGCGUCACCAUCAAGUUCGUAGUUUGCGCACCGUCUACCGAUAAACUACUACCGUGGGUAUACCCCAAGGUAGACUGCCGACUAGCUUUCAUCGACAGAUAUCAGUUACUAUUCCUUUAACUUCUCGAAACGUCUGAUCUGCCAUCUGGAGCUGAAUGUAUGUUGGUUUUAGGGGCAUGGUUCCGAACAAAAGUCGAUAGGUGACUGCGGCCAUUAUGUUGACGCCCGAUCCUGUGUCGCAAGUCAUCUUAUAGAAGUUGUAUCCAUUUAUGGAGCAAUAGAUGCUUGGCAUUCCUAGGUCGACCUUCUUGGUCAAAAAUGGUGACUUAACUUGUUGAUCUUGGCCUCCAUGAACUGCAGUGACCAUCUUAGCUGACUCGGUCCACACUUUCUUAUUCCUGUUCCUCCUGUUGGUCCUCUUCCUUGAUUCACGUCUAGAUUGAUCUGGGAUUUGUGUAGUCUUGUUCUUGAAGCAAAACGUCUCCUUCUUCCCUUUGAUGUAGAAACUGAUCUUGGCAGCACUAGCGUAGAUGACAGCUCCCGAGGUGUUCAAGAAUAGCCUCCCUAAGAUGAUGGGUGCCCUCUCAUCAUUACCGGUCUCUAUCACCACGAAGUCUGCUGGGGCGUACAAGGUACCAACAUAGACACUAAGGUUCUUCAAUAUUCCUUUUGGAAAACUUAUCGCCUGAUCUGCAAACUGCAAACACAUGGUUGUUUCUAAUAAAGGAUAUGUAAAGAAUUUUUCAUAGAGUACCCUGGGCAUAAUGUUGACACUAGAGCCAAAGUCACUCUGUUGACACUAGAGCCAAAGUCGCAGAGUGCUUCUGGGACGUCCACCAUGCCGAUGGAGAUCAGGAUGACGGGGCGUCCUGGAUCGCCUCUCUUGACCGGCAGAAGGUCAGUAGUGAAUUCAGUGACAUGGUUAUUCCAAUUACCUACAUCAAACAUGUCUACAAGAUUUGCAGAUUCUAAUCCUUCCAGGUGUGAUGGUAUACCUGGGUUAGUAGUAGGAACAGCAGCAGCUAUUUGAUCUAACUGAGAUUCAAUCAUUUUAUUAAAGCUAAUUUGAUUCUUGAUGGCAGUAGAGAAAUUAUCCAUUCUAUUAUUUAUAUUUUCUAACAUUUUAUCAUUUGAUGCCAAUUUCUUAGAUAGGUUAUCCAUUAGCUUUCCUUGAUUAGACACUAACUCUCCCAGAGGUGGAAAAUUAUUAUUAUUGUUGUAAGAAUUGUUACCUUGAUAAUUACUUGAGUAGUUAGGCCUCUCUUGAUUCCAACCUUGAUUUUGUUGAGGACGGUUACAGUAGUAGUUGUUGUUGUUGUUGAUGUAGUUUACAUCCUCAAGCAUCUCAGGGCAGUGAUUGCCUGAGUGUCCAGUAUCUCCACACUCCUCACAAGUCAUGUGAGAGUCGUAGAUGUUCAUAACUUCCUUCUUAUCUCUAGCUCUAUCGUCAAGCUUCUUCGUGAGCAGGUCUAGCUUUGUAGACAGCAUGUCUACCUCCUUGAGCUGAUGCAUACCUCCACCUCUCUUGCGUGUCUGGGUCCUCUCCUCAUUCCAACCUUGAUUGGAUGCCAUCUUCUACACAAGAGCUGUGGCUUGUGAUAUUGUAAGUGAUAAGAAUGCUCCUCCAGCUGCAGCAUACAUGGUCUCUCGGGCACCGUUGCCGAGCCCAUGAUAAAACGUCUGCAUUAGUAGCCAACUCUCCAUUCCAUGAUGGGGACAUUCUAGGAUGUAGUCUUGGAAGCGCUCCCAUGCUUCUGAAACGGAUUCAUCAUUUUGUUGCUGAAAACUUGUAAUCUUCCCACAGAGAGCAUUGGUCUUGCCCAUGGGAAAGAACUUAGCCAGGAAGUUUGUUGAGCAGAGUGCCCACGUAGUAUUCUUCUCCUUUGUAGCGUAGAACCACUGCUUCGCUCUUCCUAACAGUGAGAAUGGGAAGAGGCAAAGUAGUAUAGCAUCUCUGGGGACUCUUGAUAUGGUAAAUGUGUUGCAAAUCUCCAGGAAGUGUUGGAGAUGAGCACUAGCAUCUUCGUGUGCCUUCCCACAAAACUGGUUGGAUUGCACCAUGUUGAUAAGUCCAGGCUUGAGCUCAAAGUUGCCGUCGAUCUCUGCAGCAGGUCCAGUGCGGAUGUUGUCCGCAGUGGGAGCUGAGAACUCGCAGAUUGAUUUGUUCGCCAUGGCUUCAAACUCUGAAGACAAGUUCUGGUGAUCUUCUUGAUUGGAUGAAGCUUCUUUCUGAAGUGUUCAUGAUCUCUUCUUGAGCUUGGCUCUAGUUUUUCUGAAGAAUGCUUCGGGAUUGUCAAAAAAAUUUCCUGGAAGAUGUCUUCUAUUCAUACAUUCCCCUCCAUAAGAUAAAACAGAAAAAUAUCGGGGUAAAACUGUAUGAAAGAAUUGAUAAGCUCAAUCGUAUUAGUGAUGUGAAUGAUGACUUGAAAAUCUAUAUCCAUUCCUGAUUAGUAAUCAACCUUCCUCGGCAACGGCGCCAAAAAUGCUUGUUGGGUAUUCUUAACAUCAUUACCAAAAGUAGACACUUUUCUAAUUCUAGUAACGGUGCCAAAAAUGCCAAACCUAUCCCUCAUACCACUUAAGCCAAGUUGUCAUCCCCAGCAUGACAUGAGAGACGCGGUAUUGAAAUAUGCAAUUGCUCUUCUAAAUAAAUAAUGAACGGGAUCUGCAAGCGCACAGAUUAAUACCGAUGUAGCAUUUUAACCGAGAAGUAUUCCAGGUAUCGUUAUUUAUAUUUUUACCACUGGGAAGGGAUUAACAAUCAUCAAUAUUGAUUACAGAAUAGAAUAAGAGAUUGAGUAUCUAUCAUUCCAUAUAUAAUUGAGAACAUUUAUCUAACUCUUUCAUACAGGGGUAAGUGUCACAUAAAGGAUAUAUAAAGUAAUGAAUAGUGACAAAGAUAAUUAGUCUGAUUAGCAUAACUUAGCCACAUAAUAAAUAUGAUAAGCACCUCAAUUAGAUAUUCUAGAAAGUCAUUAGCAUAGUAUUAGAAAGAACUACAAGAAUAUUUCUUGUGUUAUUCUCAACUAUAUAGUCUAGCAUUAUCGUAGUUAGUGCAAGCAUACUUAGCAAUCAUUGCAAGACAAGACUACGCCCAUGCAUAGUGAUAUUAGAAAGGUAAAUGAGAAACAUAGCAAUCACUCCCCUGUAAUAAUAUUGCUCUGCCAGCCCAAUACACAAGAGGGGGACUAUAUAAGAAUCAAUGAAGCUGUCACUAUCACGAACUACCCCACGAUCUGGCAUAUUGGGUACAAUCGCAGAUAAAUACGGUAUAAGCACCAUGCCUACACAAUAUCUGUCAUUUACCCAUGGAUCUGAUGGAUAAACGCUAUACGAUCCUAAGCAUGUAUAUAGAUCCAAUCUAACUAAGCCAAGUAUAUAACUAUGAUAAACUAAGAACAAUAUAAUCUUGAAUAUAAACAAGUAGAGCAAAGUCAUAAGCAAUAUAUUGAAGUAGAACAAAGUCAUAUUCAUAAUAUUGAAGAACAAAGAUGAUUAGAAGAACAAUUAGAAGAACAAUUAGAGAAUUACCAAGAAUCCUCUUAACAGAUCCGGAAACCAAUCGAAGAUUGACUCCUUCUAGUUCUAAUCCAAUGUAGCUAUACUAAUCUAGAUGUCUAAUUGAUGUGGUGGCUCUAGGCUUGAUCAGAGGCUUCUCCCCUAAGGAAUAAUGAAUUAGGGUUGAGAGACUCUCUCCUCCAGGGGCCAGGGGGUCUGGUUUUAGAGUCCCUUCAAGUGAAUAUGGGCCGUUGGAUCAAACCGACAUUGAUUGAACAGUUAUCCUUGAUCCUUUAGGUCGGUGGAGAUUAGUCCCGAAAGAGAGUCCUAAUCCAACUCAGAGAGGGGGCGGGCACCCAGGUGAACAUCGGCCUUCGCUUCCUUCCCGUGCCUUCUGGAGUCUUCUAGAUGUAAGAUAAUUGCACGGCACGUUGAUAUCUCUAUGUAAUCCCGACAUGUGGGCCUUUCUUCCGUAUUCCCUAAUAACCCCUGCAGAAAUAGACAAACACCAAAACUUGUGGAAUUCUGUCAGAUAAAACCCUAAGUCUGGAUAUUGGUUUUAUUUGGAUCCUUUUCUUUGUUUAUUUGAUAAUUAAAUUUGAUACUUAAGGACCGUCAACAGCUGGCUCCAUUGCACCUUGUACCAUUUGGUAGUUGUCCUUCGGGUAACUCUAUCCCUUUGGUCCAAUACUCGGAUAGGAUACUCUGCAUAAGUUAGAUCUGGUUCAAGUUCUACAUCUUCAAUAUCUUGAACCUGGUCUGGUACUCAAAGACACUUUUUCUGUUGAGAUACAUGAACUACAUUGUGUAUCUCGAAUAAUCGUUCGGGUAAUUUAAGGCGGUAAGCUACCUGUCCACACCGGUCAAUGAUUGGAAAUGGACCAAUGUAACAAGGUGCUAGCUUGCCUUUAACCCCGAAAUGAUUCACUCCUUUCAUCGGGGAUACUUUUAGAUACACAUGGUCACCCUUGGCGAACUUUAAGGGUCGACGUCUUUUAUCGGUAUAACUUUUCUGUCGGGACUGAGCAAUCUUCAAGUUAUUUUGAAUUUGUCUAACUUUGUUCUCAGUUUCUUUCACUAAGUCAACCCCAAAGAACCAUCUUUCUCCGGGUUCAGACCAAUGUAGUGGAGUCCGAGAUCGAUAGCCAUAUAGUGCCUCGAAGGGAGCCAUCUUAAUACUUUUUUGGUAGCUAUUGUUGUAGGAGAACUCUGCUAGAGGCAAGCAGUCAUCCCACUUAUCUGGAAAAUUUAGGGCACAAGAUCUCAAUAGAUCUUCUAGGGUUUGAUUCACCCUUUCUGUUUGCCCACCUGUUUGAGGGUGGUAGGCUGUAUUGUAUAAAAGCUUGGUGCCCAAAGAUUCAUGUAAGCAUUUCCAAAACUGGGAGACAAAUUGUGUGCCUCUAUCUGAUACUAUGGUCUUUGGCACCCCAUGCAGACUCAGUAUAUGAUCAAAAUAUGUUUUGGCAUAGGUGGAAGUCUAAUAUGAUGUCUUUACGGGUAAGAAGUGUGCUAUUUUAGUGAGACGGUCCACAAUGACCCAAAUAGAAUCAAAACCUUUUGCCAUCUUGGGUAAUCCCACUAUGAAAUCCAUACUAAUAUCAUCCCAUUUCCAUGCUGGAAUAGGCAAGGGUUGCAACUCUCCAGCGGAUUUGAGAUGAAUAGCUUUGACCUUUCGGCACGUGUCACAUUGGGCCACAUAGCGGGCUAUUUCUAUCUUCAUUUUCGUCCACCAAAACCUUUGCUUCAGGUCCUGAUACAUUUUAUUGCUCCCCGGAUGAAUAGAAUAUCUGGUGGUAUGAGCUUCAUCCAGGAUUUGCUGACGUAGCUCAGGUACCUUUGGAACCACUAACCGGUUUUUGAACCAGAUUACUCCUGCAUCAUCCACUUUAAAGUCUGUGGGUGUUCUGUUAGAAAUUUUCUCUUUAAGAUAUUUCAUGCCUUUGUCUUCUUUUUGUGCCUCUAUGAUUUGAGCUUCAAGAUUGAAAUCAAUCUUUAUAUUGGCAAGGCUUCUUUGGGAAAUCAUUUCUAUCCCCAAGUUCUCUAGCUCUUAGCACAAAGUUAUAUCUUUAGGCGUCACUGUUAAGCAAUUACAGUGGGCCUUACGACUGAGGGCAUCAGCUACUACAUUUGCCUUGCCAGGGUGAUAAUGCACCUCAAGAUCGUAAUCUUUAAUCAAUUCUAGCCACCUUCUCUGGCACAUAUUAAGUUCAGCUUGAGUGAAGAUGUACUUCAAGCUCUUGUGAUCUGUGUAUAGGUGACAAGUGUUCCCCAACAGAUAAUGGCACCAGAUCUUCAAAGCAUGCACUACGGCGGCUAGUUCAAGAUCAUGGGUCGGGUAAUUCUCUUCAUGUGGUUUAAGCUGCCUGGAAGCAUAUGCAAUUACUCGACCCUCCUGCAUUAGCACAGAGCCUAUCCCUAUUCUUGAUGCGUCACAACACACAUCAAAGGGUUUUUCAAUAUCUGGCUGGGCUAAGACAGGUGCAGUUGUUAAUAACCUUUUUAGAGUUUGGAAGGCCAGCUCACAUUCAGAUGACCAAACAAAAUUUGUUUGAUUCUUGAGCAAGGUCGUGAUUGGCUUAGCGACUCUUGAAAAGUCCGGGAUAAAGCGGCGGUAAUAUCCCGCCAUACCCAGAAAACUACGGACCUCAUGUACCGUAGUCGGGGGCUUCCAAUUCAAAACAUCUUCUACUUUACCUGAGUCUACAGCGACUCCCUCCGCUAAUAAUUCAUGACCCAGGAAAUGGACCUUGUCUAGCUAGAACUCACAUUUGCUAAACUUGGCAUAUAGUUGAUGCUCCCUGAGACGGGUCAGCACAAUCCUCAGAUGUUCAGCAUGCUCUUUCUUGGAUUUGGAAUAGAUCAAGAUGUCAUCAAUGAAGACGACCACGAAUUUUUCCUGCUCUGGCAUGAAGACAGAGUUCAUCAAACACAUGAAAUGGGCUGGUGCGUUGGUCAGCCCAAAGGACAUCACCAAGUAUUCAUACAGCCCAUAACGGGAUGUAAAAGCCAUCUUGGGUACAUCUUCCGGCUUGAUUUUGAUUUGGUGGUAUCCCGAUCUCAAAUCAAUCUUUGAGAAUACUUUAGCCCCGGCUAACUGGUCAAACAGCAUGUCAAUACGGGGCAGGGGGUACUUGUUUUUAAUCGUCACCUCGUUUAAGGGACGAUAAUCGACACACACCCUUAGUGUUUGAUCUUUCUCUUUCACAAAUAAGGCUCGGCAACAUCAUGGAGAUGAACUGGGCUGAAUAAAACCUUUUUGCAACAACUCUUGUAAUUGGGUUUUCAAUUCGGCCAGUUCUUUUGGUGCCAUUCGAUAGGCUCUUCGAGAUAUUGGGGCUGUCCCUAGUUUCAAUUCUAUGCUGAACUGGACAUCCCGGUCUGGUGGCAGACCUGGUAGGUCCUCAGGAAAUACAUCUGGAAAAUCCCGAACUACUGGGAUAUUUUUGACUUCCGUCACAUUAGUGGCAUGAACUUGCCCAAUUGCCCGUUUGGGAGUAGCUAAUUGGAUCAGAAGGUAACAAUUCUCAUUGAGCAAUGGGACCUUAAUGGUUCGAUGUAAGGUGUCUAGCACAACCCCUCGUUGUGCCAUCUAGUUCAUGCCUAGUAUGACAUCAAUGUCCUGAUCUUCAAGGACAAUCAUACUAGUGGGAAAACUAUGCCCACCAAACUCGAUGGGUAUCUGAUGAACCAUUCCUUUAGAACUCAGCCGUCCUCCUGGCGACUGUAUAUAAAAAUGAUCUUUUGUUUCCCCAAUGGGUAUGCCAUGCUUCAUCACAAAUGUACGGUUGAUGAAUGUAUGAGAUGCACCAGAAUAAAAAAGCAUUAAGGCAGGAUGUUUUGCAACAGGGAACAUACCCAUCAUUACCGGUUCUCCUUCCAGUAUUGUUUCCACCUCUGUAUGGAAGACUUGUCCCACUUUCUUUAUAGGUUUACCCUUUUGUGCAUUCUGUCCUUUCUGAGCCCCAUUUUUGAAUUGGCUCGGCUGGGGUUGGCCAAUGGGUGGCCUUUGGAAAGUGGGGUUAUUUUGUCGAGGGUAGGGGCAUUCUUUAGAAAAAUGCCCAGGCUUACCACAAUUGUAGCAAGGAUAAUUGUGGUUUGGCGGAGCAAUAGGACGAACACCUGGGCGUUCGGCUGGUGUGGUGCAGUGGUGACAGCAGUCGGUCGAGGAUAGACCUGCUGCCCGGGUCUAUACUAUGAAGGGGGAAAGGGACCACGAAAAGGUGACGGCGUUGGAAAGCGUCCAUGGCCCUGUGGGUGAUAAAUGAUCCUCUGGCGCUUUUGACCACGAUCAGAGAAGGAGGAAGAAGCGGCCUUCUUCUUUGCUUCUUUGUGUUUUCUAUUCUUUUCUUCCGAGGCGAUGGCAAUAUUAACCACCUCGUAGAAAGAAUCAUUUUGACAUGUGGUCAUCAUAGUCUGAAGCUUUGUAUUGAGACCACGCAUAAAACAGACCUUCUUCUUUUUAUCUGUGUUCACAUGGUCCAUGGCAUACUGAGAAAGAUGAUUAAAUUUGGCCACGUAUUCCAUCACACUUUUAUCGCCUUGCUGCAAGGCAAGGGAUUCUUCCGCUUUCAUGGCCAUAAGCCCUUCUGGAAUAUAAUGGGCGCGAAACGCGUCCUUAAAUUCCGCCCAGGUGUCCUAGAUUUUGGAUAGCGAGGAAAUUUUCCCACCAGGCCCCCGCAGCUCCGCGAAGCUGUUGGGCUACGAACAGGGGCUUUUGAGUCUCCGAACAGCAGAUCAGGCUGAACUUAUGCUCCAUUGUCCGGUGCCAGUUGUCAGCCUCUAAAGGCUCAUCAGCCUUGGUGAACACUGGUGGCCUUGUCUCGGUAAAAUCCACAUACCGAGUUUCUCCCUCCCCAUUGUGUUGUGCUCUGAAGUUUGGGGCGGGGUGUGGUUGGCGCUGCGCUAGUUCGCGCAACAGGCGAGCAUUGUCAGUAGUGGCACUCAAAAGAACAGCAAUUGCAUCGGCUAGGGAAGGUGGAGCAGGUGGAGGGUGAGGUAUGUCCUCCCCUCCAUGAGAAGACCCCGUGUUGACGGUCCUUAAGUAUCAAAUUUAAUUAUCAAAUAAAUAAAGAAAAGGAUCCAAAUGAAAUCAACAUCUAGACUUAGGGUUUUAUCUGACAGAAUUCCACGAGUUCUGGUGUUUAUCUAUUUCUGCAGGGGGUUAUCAGGAAAUAUGGAAGAAAGGCCCACAUGUCGGGAUUACGUAAAGAUAUUAACGUGCUGCGCAAUUAUCUUACAUCUAGAAGACUCCAGAAGCCACGAGACCGAAGCGGAGGCGAAACGGGGCCAGAGGCAGGGCGCCCGCCCUGUCCUACUGGGCGCCCGCCCCCUCCAGGAGUCCAAUCAGGACUCUGCUUUGCGGGAGUUCUCCACCUACCUAAAGGAUGAAUCUAAACCAUACAAUCUAUGUCGGUUUGAUCCAAUGGCCCAUAUUCACUUGAAGGGACUAUAAAACCAGACCCCCUGGCCCCUGGAGGAGAGAGCCUCUCAACCAUAAUUCAUUGUUCCAUCAAGGUAGAAGAAGCCUCUGAUCAAGAUUAGAGCCACCACAUCAAUUAGAUAUCUAGAUUAGCAUAGCUACAUAGGAUUAGAACUAGAAGGAGUUAAUCUUCGAUUGGUUUCCGGAUCUAUCAAGAGGAUUCUUGGUAAUUCUCUAAUUGUGCUUCUAAUUGCUUUCUAAUUAUCUUUGUUCUUCAAUAUUAUGAAUAUGACUUUGUUCUACUUCAAUAUAUUGCUUAUGACUUUGCUCUACUUGCUUAUAUUCAAGAUUAUAUUGUUCUUAGUUUAUCAUAGUUAUGUACUUGGCUUAGUUAGAUUGGAUCUAUAUACAUGCUUAGGAUCGUAUAGCGUUUAUCCAUCGGAUCCAUGGGUAAAUGAUAGAUAUUGUGUAGGCGUGGUGCUUAUACCGUAUUUAUCUGCGAUUGUACCCAAUAUGCCAGAUCGUGGGGUGGUUCGUGAUAGUGACAGCUUCAUUGAUUCUUAUAUAGUCCCCCUCUCGUGUAUUGGGCUGGCAGAGCAACAUUAUUACAGGGAAGUGAUUGCUAUGUUUCUCAUAUUCCUUGCUAAUAUCACUAUGCAUGGGCGUAGUCUUGUCUCACAAUGAUUGCUAAGUAUGCUUGCACUAACUAUGAUAAUGCUAGACUAUAUAGUUGAGAAUAACUUAGGGAAUAUUCUUGUAGUUCGUUCUAAUACCAUGCUAAUGGCUUUCUAGAGUAUCUAAUUGAGGUGCUUAUCAUAUUUAUUAUGUGGCUAGAUCAGAGUAGUUAUCCUUGUCACUAUUAUUAUUUCAUAUAUCUUUUAUGUGACACUUAUCCCUGUAUGAGAAGUUAGAUAUAAUGUUCUCAAUUAUACAUGCAAUGAUAGAUGCUCAAUCUCAUAUUCUAUUCUGUAAUCAUUAGUGAUGAUUUCUAAUCCCUUCCCAGUGGUAAAAAUAUAAAUAACGAUACCUGGAAUACUUCCCGGUUAAAAUGCUACAUCGGUAUUAAUCUGUGCGCUCCAUCAGAUCCACGUGUGCGUAUCAGCAUCUGCUACAAGAAUUACAUGUACUCGUUACCACUUGGAACCCAUAACUUAAAAACAUAUUUUACAUACUUCAAUUUAUUUAUCAAACAUCAGUUCGGCACACUGGAAUCAAACGAGUACAACUUCUUGAACUUAAUAAAAAAAACAUUAUACUACAGACCCGAGCCCACUACGGUAAACUAGGAAUCCUAUAACGACGUUACCCGCAACUUCACCGAACUAGUCGGUGUGGUCAGAGCCGUAGCCCGGGUCGUCGUUGUUAUCGCCAUGGUCAUCCCCCGGGUUGUCGUUGCCGGAGUCGGAUUCCUCUUCGUCACUGGGUUCUUGGUCGGGCUCUCCAUCAUCUGCCAACUCUCCGUCAGUGUCCAUCUCCCCUUCACCUGGAGGUGGAUGAAGCUGAUGGUAUAAGUCGAAUGCAAUAUCACGGUACUGCAUUGCCAUGUCGUUGACGGUGUCCAGAUGAUGCGCCAUCUCGAGCUUCUCCAGCUGCAGCUGAUCCUCCCGCUACCAUGCGACGUCCCUCUAUGCCUUGACAGUGGCCGCCAUCUUUAUGUACAGAUCUGUAGUGUACUUGCUUUUGGUCAGCUUGGCCUUCAUUCUGGUCAGCUCGUGCAUAUGUGCGCUCCUGGCCUCCUCUUCUCGAGCAAUAGCGGCAUUUCUUUCUUCCACCAUGCGGGAUAGCAUCGCCUCGCAAUUCUCGGUGGCUUGUUUUUGUUUUGUUAGUUGAGCUUUAAGUUCACCAAUCUCCAUGACAUUAUACAUCCUUUCCCUCGUUACUUCGGUCAACUCUACUGACAACCUUUUCAUUUUCUGCUGAGAUGGGGAACGGCUACUGCUAGCUUGAUCGCUUCGCGGGGCCAAGUGGUGUCGAGGCACCCCUUUGGACCAGUUCUCUUGUGAGGAGUCUGCUUCCAAUGACCCAUCCAGUAGAGGGUAAGUUUGGAUUAGUAAGGGAGACCUUAAAGGUUAGCAAGAAUGGGAUUGAUUCUAUACAACCUAACCCAAAUAAGGAGGAAGGAAUUUAACCAAGUGACAUAUCAUGAUGCAUGCACGUACUUACGAUUCGUACUAGAAAUUCAUAACAAUAUCACUUAAAACUUUUACAACAUAGGGCGAUACUUUAUGUUGCUCCUCCACACGACCUCAAAAAUUCUAGCAAAGCCUACAGACAAUGGUAAGGUAGGACUGAAGCAUUUGGACUCAAAAUAGGCAAGUUUAUAAUAUUGGAUCCAAAUGGAUUUGAAGGUUUUCAAAGGAUACAACAGUCAUCUUAGCAACAAAUGCUCCGAUACCAGCUGUGGCAGAACCUCCUAAGUGUUUGGGCCCACCGACACCUGUCAUUGUCCUAAGGACCUCUGACGGUGAUGUCGGGGACCCUCCCACUCUCGAAGUCCGAUGAGCAUCCCAGGACGCCCAUUCCACCGAUACCUGUGGUGGCAUAUCAAACAAGCUCGUCCUGACCACUAGCGAUGGUCAAUUAACGAGAAUUUCUUCUUCUGACCUUUACAAGAUAGCAAGUGGCCACCUUAACACCAGGAUCAUUCGUUGCGAAGACAUUGCAGUGUCACAGACGACAUAUGACCAAAAUAAUAUUUCAGAGUAAAACAGCGGAAGCAUUACGUAACUUAAUUUACAAAAGGAGUUCUUCCAAGUAGUAGAGUGUUAUUACAAGCCAGGUCCAGCAGAGCAACAUAAACUUUAGUACACAAAUUACAAAUUUACAGACCCUGCCCAUGGGUCACGCUCACUCUUCCUCGUCGUCAACCUCGACGACGGUCACACAGCAGGGUUCGAAACAUGUUUGGCUCCUAAGCUUCACCUGCAACAGGGGUUAUAAAACCCUGAGUACGGGAGUACUCAACAAGACUUACCCGGCAGAAAAAGAGGAGAAAAUAGGAAUGCAGGCUUGGGGUAGACAAGGAGUGGCUGAGCAAGGAGCCAAAUUGUUUUGCCAAAAAGCUUACUAAUAGUGCAUCCUUACUUUCAAGUUUUACCCACGAAUUCCUCUCCUUAAGAGGUCGAGGAGUUCGAGGACAGUCUAUCUAGUUGCUUCUCACAGACAAGUCUGUAAGUUCCUAGUCCUUAAUCCAAGUAUUAUCUAUCCAAUGGCCAUAGCUUCAUGUCACUCUGAGUCCAGGAAUUGGGAUCCGAACCACAUGAGACAUUUCCCCCUUUCUCAUUUUAUCACUUAGUUGCAUAUUUGUCUACGAUGAGGGUUAGUGGAUUGAGUCUCCCAAUCGGGGAGCAACGACGAUUCGAGUCGCUUAGCAAUCCAGCUGGAGUUCCUAACCACCCGACAUAUGUAGAACCAAAUCUUGCAUAUAUCAACCCAAAUCUAGCUCUCCCCAAAUUUGACCGGGUUCACGGCACCCGAGAGCACACUACCCCACCAUCCAGCCCAUUUGCCAGGAGGGUACACGCUACUCUCGCCAUCACUCCAUGCCUAGUGCGCGAGUAGCCGUUCGCGUCGAUGGAUCACAAGACUGGGCUUACCGGGGGCAAGUGGCUAGUACUAUAAAUUCUCAACCCAGCUGGCCACCAACGGACCGGUCCUUAAUCGACACGGUCGGAGACACUACUUUAAGACUCCAUUCUUAAAGCAAGUCCACCGACCGGUCUCAAGUUGAAAAUCAUUGACCAUAAGAGUAUUCCACAACAACCCUUCAAACUUUCUUGUUUGAAAACCUAUCUAGUAGCAGGGCUAAGCAUCACUACACAGUUUUAAAAAUAAAACAGGUACCAAGGACAAGAUAAGAAAUAUCAAGGUAGUAAAUGCAGCAAGUUGGUUAACCCAAUUCUCGACUACCUAAUGCAGCAUUUUCAAUUCAUAAGUGAUAAAAGAUUUAAAACAUUCAAGGAGGGGUUAAUGCAUCCGGGGCUUGCCUUGGUUGCAGAGCUAAGAGGGACCCUCAGAGACUUCCCAAGUCUCAGAUCCUAAUACCUCGAACGGAGCACCGACCUCGGGGUUCGGUUGAACGGUCGCUCCUUCGGUCACGUGCACUACACGUAAAAUGAUGUAUGCUCAUGAUAUGCAUAUGACAGAUAUUUAAGAAGGACCGAGUUGAGUACAAGUUUCCUUCUUGGUGCAAAAACAGGCUAAACAGUCAUUAUAGUUGUUUAUCAUUUUAGUGUUUUUACCCAAGAGGUUGCAUCAGUAAACUAAGGUUUUUCUUAAUUUAUAAUUAUUCUUACUUAACUAAUUAAUAAACUCAUUUAUCUUAAUUAAUCCUUAAUUAAGCAUUAAUGAGAGUAAUUAAGUAUUAACAUCAAACAAUAAUUAAGUGCCCAAGGUCAUUAAGGUCAAUGACCUUAGGUCAUCAUAUAAUCCCAAAUCACUCAAAUCCUAAUUUUGAGAAUUUAAACUAAUUAUCACUUAACUAUUCUAGGACUAUUAUUAAAUCACUAAUUAAAGGUAUAUUAAUAUUUUAUUCAAACCUUAUCCAAAUGCCACCAAAUUUUGUGUGAAGCUAGGGAAUAAUACUCAGAGACCUCUCACAACUUUUGGUGAUUUUUGAACAUACCCAUAAAUUAUUAAAAUUCAUGCAAGUUCUAUUUAUUACUUGAAGAGUACAAUUUUUAGAUACAUGCAAACUACCACAAAAUGGAAUCUAGUAUUUUUCCUGUGUUCUACUCGUUUUAUAGAACCUACACAAAAAUUUCCAUAAUUUUUGGAUCAGCACAUGAUUUAUUAUACCAAAUCAAACAUACAUUAAAUUUUGCACAAAAAGAAAAGGGAGAAGUCACUGUGCAGCGAGCGGCCCAGGAACUCGCGUGGUCGCUGACGGGCGGGUCCUGCCCGUCAGUCCCUUCUUCCUCCUCUCGCCACGGCUCCGGCGAGCUCAAGCACGCCAUCGGCGAGCUCUCUGCCUUCGCGGUAGGGCGUGCUAGCUUCCCCAGUACCACGCGCACCCAUUGUCACCCUUUUUGGAUGCUCUCCCAUCCGCUAACCCCUACGGCCGUGUCCAUGGCGGACAGCGACCUCGGUCACGCGACCGCUGGCUGCUAUAAGCGAAAAGAGCACAAACCGAGGGGCACACAAGCACCAGCAGCUCACCGUGACUUCGAGGAGCUACUCUGCGGCGUCAGCGAGGGUUGGAGGAGGGCUGGCCACGGGAAGUGUUCACGGCGGCGAUUCCGGCCAGAGUCGGAGGAGAACGGCUCGGUUGCGGGCUACGAGGGAUUAGAGCUUGUGCUAGGGAGCGCAAACGGUUGCUGAGUUCUUGGCGGAGUUGUUGGUGCGCCCGGGUGGCUUGGAAAGGGAGCGAGGAAGGCAAAUUUGGUGGGCGGAGUGAGCUCGUCAGCGUCGGGAAGUUUUUCGACGGCGGCUCGAGGUUUUAUCCUCGCGACGCAAUGCUUGCUGCGGAUGAGGACACCAGGGCGACGCCCAGCAAGCAAGCAGCUGCGUGGCCAGGCGCGUGGCGGCGCUGGACGCAGCAGCUCUGCCCCGGCGGCAGUGCAUCCCCCCUGCUCGAGCACUGUAGCAAGCCAUAUCCCAUUUAUUUUGUUGUUUUGCAAAAUUCGACCAAAAUUUGAACUAAAGUCCGAAAUCUGUUAAAACAAAAGUUGUGCAGAAUUUUACAAGCUACAAAACAUAUUUUGGUGUCCAAAGCUGAUUCUAAGUGAAAAAUGGUGAAUUUGACAAAACAGUUUGAAUUUCAAAUCUCAAAUUGGGGAAAUUCCAAUUUUAAAUUUGACCAUAGAAGAAUUCCAAAAUUACUUUUGAUUUUCCAUAACAACUUGAAAAAUUCCCAACAUGAAAGUUAUUCAACUUUUUGAGCUCUACAACUUUCAUGUUGGUCACUUUUCAAGAUUCCAAAUAGAUUUUGAAUUGGGGAUUCAAAUUGGAAAGGGGGACACUUUCUGGAAAUCUGUAUUUUCAAAAUUACUUUGAAUUUUGUAUUGAAACUUCAAAAACUCAAAACACCAAAGUUGUACAUCUUGACAAGAUAUACAACUUUGCUUUUGAACUGAACCUCAAAUUUUGCUUAGUUUUUAAAUUGUACAAAAGGGGCAAAUCUAGGGUUUUAAAAUCAGGGUUUUUCCACCCUAUUUUCUCGGAAACCUUCCACCCUAGGAAUUUCACAACCACACUAGCUUCAAUACACCUUGCAAACACACUUUAAUUCCCUAAGCACAAGCAAUCAAAAUAAACUUGUUUUAAUUUGAUGCAUCAAGUGGUGCUUAAUCAAUAUACGGUGCAAUGCUCAUGAUGACAUGAUCCAGUUUUAAUAACCGUGACAUCGGGGAUGUUACAGCGGUUAAGUCUGGAGACUUCACAAAGCAUCUUGCCGAUCUACAAAAACUGCUGGAGUGCACAAGGAAACAUGGUUUAAAGAUGAAUCCUAAUAAAUGUGCAUUUGGCGUAUCGGCAGGACAAUUUCUUGGUUUCAUGGUGCAUUAGAGAGGGAUUGAAAUUAGUAGGAGAUCUAUUGAUGCCAUUAACAAGAUAGUUUCUCCCACCAAUAAGACUGAACUUCAAUCACUGAUCAGAAUUUGUAUGGGGGAGAGAACAACAAUUAGCAUCGGAUGAAAUAAAGAAUUAUUUGACAAAUCCUCCAGUUCUGAUUCCACCUCAACAAGGAAAGCCUUUCAGAUUAUAUUUGUCUACCGAUGGGAUUGUCAUCGGUUCGGCUUUAAUUCAAGAAUUUGAAGGGAAGGAACGUGUGAUUUAUUAUCUAAGUAGGAGAUUGGUGGAUGCUGAAACAAGGUAUUCGGUAGUUGAGAAAUUGUGCUUAUGCCUAUAUUUCUCAUGCAUCAAAUUAAGACACUACUUGCCAUCGGCCGAAUGCACUGUUAUAUGCAAAGAUGAUGUAGUCCGGUACAUGCUAUCUAUGCCAAUUAUGAGUGGUAGAAUCGGCAAGUGUAUUUUGGCGUCCUCAGAAUUUGAUCUACGUUAUGAAUCGGCUAAGGCAGUAAAAGGGUAGAUUAUGGUUGAUUUUGUAACUCAACAUUGCGGUGUAAUGAAUGCCUUCGAAAUUGUUUCUUGGACGCUCUUCUUUGAUGGAUCGACAUAUGACCGGGGGCAGGAAUUGGCAUUGUAACACCGUAGGUGUUAAGCAUGCACUUAGUCUCAUAAACCCUCUCAUAAGCAUUCUCAUGAAGCAUAAGCAUAGCAUCACAUAAGCAUAGUAGUAUUUCAAGUGUGAUUUUAUAUGCUUAAUUUAGAUGAAUUAAAUAUGACAAAAAAAUAGUAUGCUUGCUUCCAAAAUUCUUGUGAUGACCAAAGUAGGUUGAGAUAUGUUUUAGGAAAAUUAAGGGCAAUUUUGUGAAAUUUUUAGAGCUAUAGGAAUUGAGAAAUGGAUUUUAUACAAAAAUCCCCAAAACGAAUCUAUUUAAAAACCUAGAAAUAGUUUUAAUUUGUGAUUCAAUUUCUGUUUGGAAUUUGAAUUUGCAUCUUAAGCAAAGUUGUAGAGAAUUUUGUGGGGAAAAAUUCUUCUUUUUACUUCAACCCCUGAAAAAGUUUGCAAAGGCUUCAAAAAUGGUGUUUAAGCUUUUUGGGAAAAAGAAUUCAAAAAAAUGGAGAAGGGAAAGGGGGGCGCUAGCAGGCCGCGGCCUCGCUUUUGGCCCGCUGGCCGAAGCCGGCCCAGCCCGCCCACGCGUCACCCCCCUCCCCGCGCCCGCGCUAGCGCCGCGUCCACGCGCGCGCGACACCGUGGCACGCCGGCAGCGUUCGGCCGCCGUGUGGCGCGGAUGCGGCGACUUGGACGCACCCUGGUCGGCCACUGUUGAUGUUUGGUAAUGCAAUCAGGAAUUAAUCCGCAAGCGCACGGAUAUCGGUGAGCACUUUACCCGGGAUGUUAUCCAGAGUAUCGUAUUUAUGUUUUUACCACUAGGAGAAAGCGUGCAUCUGACUAACAAGGUCUAUUACUACUAACCUUUAGGCUACAACCACUAUGACUCGAUUUGAGUGAUGUAUAGAGAAGACUUCAACUACACCCUCGUUCUAACCUUGGUAUGGAUGAUCUACUAUUCUAUUGGGGAGGCUCACGGAAUCUAGACAACACAGAGGAUGUUCGACCCGCACCUAUAAACCCUAUCGAUCCUGCUAACGGUAUUAUGGGCUACAAAGGUAACUUGGAAAUGUCACGUUCCUCGCUACUACCACGGUCCGGCAAGACAGGGGGUAUCUAUGAGUAUCCUAGCCCAAACAUCACGUUUACGCUAGAGAUGAUUACUCUAAACUUUACGCGAAGAGAUCAAAGUAAGCUCAUAAACCAAAGAACAAUAAAACAAAGAACUUACUAGAAUUUAGAAGUCGAAAUACUGAAGAAUGCUAGGAGCAAGCCUCGGGUUAGGAGACUUGAUCCCGCAGGUACAUCCUCGGAGUAGACACCAACAGGUCGGACUUCCUCCAAUCUACACCUGCACUCUAUCUCUCUCAAUCUAGUAGAACUAAUUCUACUCUCACAUUGGAUGCUAAGCCCUAUGAGGUUGGAACCCUAAAGGAACCUCUCUCUCUGAAUCCUCUCUGGAAAAUAUGCUAAUGAAUAAUGGGGAUUGAUUUCUCUAGGGUCUAGGGGCCUUGCUUAUAUAGCCCUCUCAAAUGAAUCUGGGCCAUCGGAUCAAACCAACCUUGAUUGAACGGUUCUGCUUGAUCCUCAAAGGCGGUGGAGCAUAAUCCGCGAGACUCGUGCUGAUUGGCAAGCAGAGGAGGGAGGGCGCCCAGGGGGACUGGGCGGGCGCCCUGCCUGUAGGCCCGCUCGGCCUCCCGCUCGUUCGUGUGGCUUCUGGAACCUUCUAGACCGAGGAAAAUUGGCGGAAAAGUUAAUAUCUCUAUGUAAACCCGAUGGGUGGGCCUUUCUUCCAUAUUUCCUGAUAACCCUAUGCAGAAAUAGAUAAACAACAAAACUCGUGGAAUUCUGUCACAUCAAACCCUAAUUCUAGGUGUUGUUUGUAUAUUAGUCCUUUUCCUUAUUUAUUUCAUGAUUAAAAUUGAUACUUAAGAACCGUCAACAAACACCGCCAUACUUAGGCUUUCACUCGUCCUCGAGAAGAGGAUGGUUUAGAAAAAUAUCCGAAGUUAAAACAUUAUAAAGCAUUCUCUUCAUACCUGCAAGGUGUUGUAAAAAAUCCACUGUGUACAGUAGUCAGGGAAAUAUAUGGUCAAUAGUAGAGGUCAUUUCUUCUCAAUCCUGUCACUUGGAGUUUUUUUGUAUAUUUUUUUUGAAAAAAUAAAUUUAGCAUACCUUUAUCCUCAUAGGUUCUCUCAGAUCGCUCAUUUAUCUUUUGUAUAUCUCAGUGAGGCUGUUUUAAUUUGCAGAAAUUCUCAAGCAUACUUACCUUGAAUUUAUUGCCUAAUCAAAACGGAAUCCGAGGAGAGGAAUGUCAUACUAUUAGAUCAAAGACUUUGGAAAUUAAAAACUUGUCAACUCUUACUGGCAUAUUGCUUAUUAGAGGGACCAUGGGCUAUCAUUUUCUUUCUCUUCUUCUCUCUUCUUUUUUUCUGGUGGAUACCGAGGUACCCCUAAUUCUACUGCCGGACACUUGUCCAUUUUUUCUGCGAGGCUGUCGAGCACUUGCUCCUUUUUAUUUCCUCAAAAUAUUCAUAUUUUUGCAUAGCCCAUGCCUCUAAUGCAAUAAUACUUCAAAUUAGUGAAUCUUUCUGAAUAAAUGUCUUUAUCUUAGGAGCAUGAUAAAUCUCUCAACAAGGGUCUAACUCGUUUUGAUCAAACUCAAUACAGAGCAGAUAGCUUUUAUAAUUAUCAUAAUUAAUAUUUUUAGGUUUAGUAGGCAUACAAAACACUAAGGAUGGUAGCUAGAAUUUUUUGAAGAUUUUAAAAUAAAUUCUCCAAGCACAAACGAUAUCGAUAAUAAGGUACUCAUACUCUACAUUCCAUAGUGACUUAAGUAACACAGGGUUUUUAAAUAAUUUUUUAUAAUUGCAAGAUUUUAGGAAAUAUCACAGAGUGAGAUUGAUCAUGAUUAGAAACACUUUAAUCUUGUUAAUUUAUCAUGUCGGAGACAAUAUUCUGCACGAACCAAGAUAUAUGUGUGUUGGGUAUUUUAAACGCAAACAGAAAAAAUCCGCAAGCGCACGGAUACCGAUGUAGCUUUCACCCGGGAGUAUUCCAGAGUAUCGAUUUUCCAUUGAGAACGUGAGUGUACUAAUUAAGAUUCAAGAUCGCCAAGGAUAACUAUAUAAUUAUUUUUGGUGGGAAGAGAGGAAGUUUCCUAAGAGUUCUCUAGUUGAUCUAAGAAUCAAGAAUUACUUCAAGAUUAUUUAUUUUGGGACAUCAGAACACUAACCACUGAAAGAGAUGAGAAGGGGGCUAGGAAGCUCUGACUACGGUCCUACAAACACCGAUCCGAACGAGGUGGAAUAUGUCGACCGUUAGGGCUGUCACUACCCUAGGGCUACCACAACAAUCCGCAAGAUUGGGUGCAAUUUUAGGUAAUUGCAAGACUAAACACCACGUCUAAUCUAUUAAUUACUACUCUAGCGUUAUAAAGACUAGAGCACUUGAUGCAAGCGGGAAUUCAAUAAAUAACUUGAAUGUAAAUAAAAGUAAUUAAAGAACUCAGGAAUUAUGAAUUGAGGAACUUGGAGAACGAUGAAGAACGAACCAGUUGCUGCAAAAGUAUAAUGUUGUGGAAGAUCCGACAGAUCCGGCUCCUCCUCCGCUCUCCCCUUCUCUCUCCCUAUUUUCUAGAUUACAACUAGAACUAACUAGAACUAGAACUAGAAGAACUAGAACUAGAACUAGAUGAACUAGAGGGAUCCUCUCUACUUGGAUGAAGAAUUGAAACCCUAGCUUUGAUUCUGUAGAAGAGGUAUGAUCUCCAGGGGCCAGGCGGCCUUGCUUAUAUAGUCUUUUCAGAUGAAUCUAGGCCGUCAGAUCAAAUCGACAUUAAUCACAUGGUUUUCCUUGAUCCUUUAGGUCGGUGGAGCGUGAUCCACGAAACGGGUCCGGAUUGGACACUGUAGCUGGGCGGGCACCCUAGGGAGUAGGGCGGGCGCCCUGUCCCUGAGCCUUCUCAGUUUCCCGUUCGUUCCCGUGGCUUCUGGAGUCUUCUAGAUGAUAGAAAGUUGCACGGCACAUUAAUAUCUCUAUGUAAACCCGACGUGUGGGCCUUUCCUCCGUAUUUCCUGAUAACCCCCUGCAGAAAUAGACAAACACCAAAACUCGUGGAAUUCUGUGAGAUAAAACCAUAAGUCAGGGUGUUGGUUGCAUUUGGAUCCUUUUCCAUGAUCAGCUGACGGUUAAAUGUGAGCUUUAAGGACCGUCAACAAGCUCCCCCAAGCUUAACCUUUGCUCGUCCCUGAGCAAAGAUGAACUCAAGAGUUUCUGCAGUGGUUUCAUGCCUUAAAGGUACACAUGUGUUCAAACAAGAUCUCAUCUCUGGGUUAGGGUAACUGUUAAGAUUUAAACUUACUCAUAUUACCUUCCACCAUCGGGCUUGCAACCGUCACUUGUGCCUUGAGCAGUUAAAAGAUAGAACGGUUUAGUCAAGGGCCAUGUCUCUUAUUCUUGAUCAACUAUAGCUCUGGAGUUUUUGCAGAUUUUCAAAUAAAACUCAGAGAUUCCUUGUAUGACUCUCUCUAGUCUCUCUUUUGUGGUAUUUUUGGAUACUUACCAAGGAAGUAAUGGUGUAUGCCUUCUCUCAAAGUAUGUGGUUUUUUUGGUAUGAGGCAUAGUGACAUUGCCUUCUCUCUCACCCUACUCUAAUAAGGUUUUGAUAUCUGGAGCUCAUAGGUGGGAGACAACUAAUACAUACUUACAAGACAUUUAUUGCAUAGUCAAACCAUGGAUCCAGAAGAACAAGUCAAUAAGUCAAAUCAAGAUGUGCAUGUGUGGCGAAUGAAUGGUGUAUGGUGAUGAUGGUGAUAAUGGUGAACACAUCUUUCUUGCUCUUUUGAAACUUUUGAGGAGAAUGAGAUGCUCUAUAUUUUCUUUUUAUUUUCUCUCAAGUGGGUAUCUUGUACCCCUAAUUCUAAUGUCGGACACUUGUCCAUUUUUACCUCUCGUCUCACUUUUUCUUUUCUUUCGAGGUUCCGGGCACUUGCCCCUUUUUAUUUCCUCAUAUCUUCAUUUUUUUCAGAGCACUCAUCUCCUGAAUAGUAUAGCAACUGGUAGUAACCAAGAUAACUUGAGCAUUUAUUUCACAGGGGAAAACAGAAAUUGGAGAUUGUUUUUGGCUAUUCUCUCCCGGAUUAGGAGUAGAAUAUUUUUGGGUGGUUCUAACGAUGGAAAUGGGUGGACAUAUGUGGAUGCGUACUUCCGGAGUAGAAGCAGCAUGUGUGAGUGAACGUGCAAGUGAAUCUUGAUUUAACCACAUGACAAGCUCCUAAGGAUCUACACAACUUGACCACACUCAAUGCUCAUAAGCAGUAAAAAGUAAAUGAAUGGUUCAUAGUCUAAUAAGCAUGUAUAUAUGGUUGUGGUAGGAUUUUAAACUCUCAUCAUACAGGAACUCAUCAUGUGAUAUUUUAAAGAUUUUCAAAGAUAAAAUUCUCCAGAAUUCUAGCAUCUCUAGGAACAGAUAAACGGUAGCUCAACCUUCCCAUAUCAUAUCCGUUAACAACUUAGAC